UUACCCCUGCCGUGUCCGUGAUUGGAUUGUGUCCCUUGACCCAAUACUAACAUUAAGGGAGUCUUCACUGGUUUUGGUGAGCAGGUUCCGCUUGCACGGAAAAGCCUAAAGAAUCCACAAGACGCCCACCUUGACAGAUAGGUUCAAGGUUUUGUCCAACACGACAUCCGGCGGGGGUAUU
Molecule: non-coding RNA, 181 nt
Filed under: Desulfobacterales bacterium CG23_combo_of_CG06-09_8_20_14_all_51_8
Lineage: Bacteria; Pseudomonadati; Thermodesulfobacteriota; Desulfobacteria; Desulfobacterales
Description: 6S RNA
Rfam family: 6S / SsrS RNA
About the family: E. coli 6S RNA was the first non coding RNA to be sequenced, but its function was unknown until recently. It consists of 184 nucleotides that fold into an extended hairpin structure with a large single-stranded internal bulge.
Source: RNAcentral